Molecule: long non-coding RNA, 932 nt
Filed under: Nicotiana benthamiana
Lineage: Eukaryota; Viridiplantae; Streptophyta; Magnoliopsida; Solanales; Solanaceae
Description: long non-coding RNA (NBEN_LNC015195)
Source: RNAcentral
CACAAUUAAGUCUGUUACUAAAUUUAUACAAUGUUUGGUUGGCGGUAUAAAUAUAUCCCGGAAUAAAUUUAUACUGCCAACCAAACAUAGUAUAAAUUUAGUACCUCACUUUAUCCUACAGUAUCUCACCUUAUCCCACGUACCAAAUGACCCCUAAACGUUUAUGCAUCAUGCAAGGCACAAAAGAACACACAGCAGAGUUGCAGAAUAAGGAGGGGAAAAAAUCCUUUGGACAUAGGAACAAAAAUACAGAUUAUUCAACAUUAAUUAUUUUUAGAAAGAAAACAAAGGACAACUGCCAAAACCUCUUUACUCGGGUAUAAUGAACUAUUAUGCCUUCUAUCACAUUUUGACAAGAAGAAAAAAAAAAUGAAAAAUAAGGACAGUAACUUAUGGUGGAUUCUGCAACAUGCUAAAAUGUUUAUAUGGAUGAAUGAAGCAUCUGUAAGCUAAUCCAACAUGUCUCUUCGCAUAUCACUCAAUUGGUGGAAUACUUAGAGAUCAAUUUGUCAACAUGAAUUACUAUAUCAUCUAUGCGAGGUCGGACUGUAGCUUGAGGCUGAAGCAUCCAUGUCACAAACUGGUGAAGGGCGUCGGGAUAUGAAGUGUUAGGACCGGUCGUGAUGGCGCCCAGUACACUACUAGGCAAGCCCGACCAUUUAUACCAAUACCCUGAUUAUUUGAACAAGUUACAGAUAAAGCUAUUUAAGUCAAAACUCAGUUGGCCACUUGAUUUGGGCAUUUACAAUAGCCAACUGAGGACUUUCAUCAGAUUCCUCAAAUGCAUACUCAAAAGGAGAUACUCCAUACCUGGAAAUAGAAAAGAAGUGAAAUUAUUAAUUAUCUUUUUAUGGAAACAGACAUACUCAAACACCAAUUCACAGUUAAAGAUAUCCAAAACCAGUUCAAAUAUGCAUGUCAUGAGCUUCUUU